GCGACUAAGCGUACACGGUGGAUGCCCUGGCAGUCAGAGGCGAUGAAGGACGUGCUAAUCUGCGAUAAGCGUCGGUAAGGUGAUAUGAACCGUUAUAACCGGCGAUUUCCGAAUGGGGAAACCCAGUGUGAUUCGUCACACUAUCAUUAACUGAAUCCAUAGGUUAAUGAGGCGAACCGGGGGAACUGAAACAUCUAAGUACCCCGAGGAAAAGAAAUCAACCGAGAUUCCCCCAGUAGCGGCGAGCGAACGGGGAGCAGCCCAGAGCCUGAAUCAGUGUGUGUGUUAGUGGAAGCGUCUGGAAAGGCGCGCGAUACAGGGUGACAGCCCCGUACACAAAAAUGCACAUGCUGUGAGCUCGAUGAGUAGGGCGGGACACGUGGUAUCCUGUCUGAAUAUGGGGGGACCAUCCUCCAAGGCUAAAUACUCCUGACUGACCGAUAGUGAACCAGUACCGUGAGGGAAAGGCGAAAAGAACCCCGGCGAGGGGAGUGAAAAAGAACCUGAAACCGU
RNAcentral lists this ribosomal RNA (513 nucleotides) under Escherichia coli. RNAcentral's name for it is "partial 23S ribosomal RNA". It matches the Rfam family "Bacterial large subunit ribosomal RNA", at positions 1 to 559 of the family's 2925-position model. Lineage: Bacteria; Pseudomonadati; Pseudomonadota; Gammaproteobacteria; Enterobacterales; Enterobacteriaceae. The record is from RNAcentral.